GCAGGCAGUGGCCGGCCGGCCGGCCGGCAAAAACAAUGGCGCCUGCCGCGACGAGUGUAAAUCGUAAAUAGUGCUGUUUAUUUUUAAUUUCAUCAGUGAAUUUGAUCAUUAACGAAAUAAAGAGUGACCCUAAAUCGUAAAAAAUAGGUAGUUACGCGAAAUUUACUUCUAUUUCUCGUGAACCAGAGUGAAAAUUAUGAAUAAACUCGCUCUCAACUUUGGCCUCGCUUCGGUUAUCACCAUUCAAAUUCCAGAUUUACGACGUAAAACCACAAACCACAAUCAUAGCACCAUGGCUGCAGUUCAAUUGCGGCCUUCCAUAACUAUAGGCAUCGAUGCUGGCACCAGCACAUACCUACUCCAGUUGCCAAAACCCAGCGUAGAUAACAUCAAGAAGAAAGCAGACAAAAAAGAAUUAAUUGUAUUCUUAUGCAACAAUAAUGCCGGCGAAGAUAUAAAAGUCAAUUCUACUCUUCAUGAAAUGGCCACAGCAGCGCAUAAUUUGCUAGACCUUCUGGACAGAAACAUUAUCAUCGGGCCCUUACCGGUGGUGGCCGGUCAAGUGGCCGCUGCACCGCCACAGGCAGUCGGCCAGCUUGGCGCGGCUCCCGCCCCUGUGAUGAAUAUUGCAGCUAUAACUGCUAUGCUAGGUGCGGGGUUUACUGCACUUGCUGCGGCACUGGCGGCGCCCCCCCCUGCCCGCCGCGGCGCCUGCCGUGCCCGCGCCCCCCGCCGCGGCGGCGCCGCCACCGGUGCCCGGCGUCCACGGUGGGCGAAAAAGUUAUUAAGGAGUCAGCUAAUUUUCGCAAGUUCAAGAGCAUGCGUUGAAUGCGCGAAUUACAAGUGACAUGUUUGCUUACUGUUUGUAAAAUUAUAAUUCAAUUUUAUCACUUUAGAUUUGAUUUUUGAAUUUUGGCCAUGGCGUGGAAAAUUACUUCACAGCUGACUAAUUUUAAUUGCCUGUGCGAGUGGGAGAGCGGCCGAAUGUAUAUUAUGAAUUGAUGAGCGCAAGAUGACGCGGCUUGUUCUGCUUCACUGUGAUCUAAUUUACAUGCAUUUACAGUUAAAACAACUUCGGCUUAAUUAAACCAACGGCUCUGCGCAAUUAAUCUGUUUCGAAUUGGAAAUUACGAUAUGAAUAAAAAAUAACCAUUUCAAGUGUAAUUUUUUGGGCCAAUAAUUUCAUAAAAUUGAUCAUAUUCUUGUUAAAAUUAUAUUUCCCUUUCAAAUAAAAAUCUUCAAUUUAUUCAAAGAAAUUAAUCAUUAAUUUAAUGCCUGCAAACACUAUUAUUUUGAUGUUUCAAUUAAUUGGACAUUGGUGUGGAAUAAUUAUUUUAUUCCUCUCUUAAUUUGUUUGUUUUGACUGUGGCUGUGUCAUCGGAGAACUUCAUUGUUAUUUUUAUUCAAUUAAUUUUCGGCUUACAAUUAAAUUCAUUUUUUUAAGGGCUUUCUUUUUAAUUAAUCUUUUUUUAAUUUCUGGCAAUUGUUUUGAGUUGAAUUCUUUUAAAUUAAUCUUGCGAUUAUUUUAAAUUUAAAGUAGCUUUAAAUUUACAAAUAAUUAGUAUAAAUUCAAUUGGAAUUAGCUUGUAGAAUUCAUGGGAUUCCAAUUCACUUCAAGGGAAUUUAUAGAGGCAUUUUAGAAUUCAACUGUAAAUUCACAGAACUUUCUAGAUGCAUCUAGAAAGUUCUCAAUGUAAAUCAAAUGGGUGGGUGGGUUUUGCACGACCCUCCCAGGGCUGCUACCCGCGCUAUAAAAGGCGCUCCGUCCGCUGGCUCGAUGCAGAAGGCUGACAGACCUCAGAGAAAUCAGAGGACACCUGGACACCCAGUGCAGUUUCGGACGCCCGUCCGAUCCCUUCGCACCCGUCCGAGCUGUCCCACGGCGCUGACCGCUGUCCUGUCCCGGCGCUGUCUCGUCCGAGAACAGCCGGAAGGCCGACCGCGUCCCGAGCCCCUCGAGAGACACACCUGUGUCCCUCGUACUGUCCCGGAUGCGGCUGAGCCGUCCGAAGCCGUACGGAGCAAUUUUGCCAGCUCCUUCCUGUCCGAGGAAUCGGGCGCCGACGUGGCACGCCGCCAGCGAGCGCUCGGACGAAGGCGUCCGAACGUCCGCCGCCAGAGACCUGCACGCCGUGGGCCCCGGCCGCGCCGAGAGCCGCCGCCGGCCUGCAGGAGCCGUCCGGGUUCCCAGCAAGGACGUUUCCAGGGCAGCCUGCCGGCCUACCCAGGGAACACCGCUCCCAUUUGUUGAUUUUUAAGUGACAUUGAACGAACCAAUUUCGAGUCAGUGAAAUUUGCUCAUUCUGCCAGAAUUGUUGUGUUAAAUAAAGCCCGUGUGUAAGCUGA
Molecule: RNA transcript, 2346 nt
Organism: Neocloeon triangulifer
Lineage: Eukaryota; Metazoa; Arthropoda; Insecta; Ephemeroptera; Baetidae
Exons: 6
Source: RefSeq, a predicted model, not a curated record